Long non-coding RNA from Triticum aestivum (bread wheat), 1459 nucleotides. RefSeq lists it as uncharacterized. The transcript is spliced from 2 exons. The record is from RefSeq and is a predicted model, not a curated record. NCBI's taxonomy places the organism in Eukaryota, Viridiplantae, Streptophyta, Magnoliopsida, Poales, Poaceae.
CGCACCCAAGCCCCUCGUCACCUCCUCUGUCCCUCUCCCACGAGACUCUCCUCACCGCCGCCACCUACGGCGGUCGAUCCUGGCCGAAUCCGGCGGCCGCCGGCAGCGCCCAGCACACCCACGUGAUCCCCUCGGCCCGCUCCUCCAUCUCCUCUGGCCAGAUUCGACGGGCGCGUCCUCCUGCGACCAUGCGCAAAACUCUCCAUCCACUAGGGUUUGGGCCACCGCGUCGCAAGUGUGGCUCCGGCGUUGCUCCGGUGAUUCAGAUCCACUCUCUUCCCUCGUCACACCCCUCCUUCAUUCUCCUCCUCACCACGUACCCUCUAACUCUCAGAUCCGUCGUCGCUCGAGCACCGGAUGCCAUGUACGGGAUGGCUGCUUCCUCCCCUGCCCAGAUGCCAUGGAGCGGCUAGAUCUGGGCGUGUACGACGACGCCCAGUGAGACGGCCUGGCCUACCACCCCAAAGCCAUAGCAAGGCGGGUGAGGGAGGAGUAGACCGCAGUCAUAUGGUAGCCAAGAGGGAUCUGAAGCGUUCGUCUCCUUCGAGCACCAAGACGGGUCUGCGGUGGAUGCUGGGUUGGAGCUCGGGUCGAUGGCGUGGCCAUGGAAACGACCUCCUUGACCUCGACAGCCAAAGCGUCGGCAGUGGAACAUCUGAUUCCUGAACCUUUUCUUUUCCUCUUUUAAUUUAAAGUUCUUAUUAGCUUAGUUGUAGAUUUCUAAGCAUGCCAUCUUGUUGUGAUUAAUUAUGUUAGUUUAGUUCUAGAUUUCGGUUGCUACUACUGUUGCAUAAUUGACCCUGAGUAUUCUGUCAUCUCAUAUGCUUCCAUGGCUUGCCUACCAACCUGCUCGAGCAGUAACAUAAACCAAGUUAUUUGAGCAACCAACCAACAACAACGAUAGUAGCACCAACUGUGUUCCUAUUCUACUCUCUAUUGGAGACUGAUGAAUGUUUAGCACUUUAUGGCAGCCCCAUAUGCAACAGGAGACCAGCAAAAGCAGCGAGUGAGAGCGGCUGUGAAUGCAUAGUUGGCGUCGAUGACUGCAUAGAGUAGUGUGAGCUAGGCUACAUCUGAUGCGAGUGGAAGAGCGUGGCUUAUAGUCAACUCCCACAAUGAUCUUUCUUUAAAUGUCAGGCUAACAUGGAAAGUGCUAUGGAACAAGAGGUACCAGAAGGUGAAGAACCAAAGAGUGAUGUUGUUGCUGACCUUUUCUCACUAAAGAAUGGCCCUCCAGCAGAUUCCCUCACUGGAUGUGUUGUUUUGGUUGGUGCCAUCUUAUGUUACUGGUUACUAGUGCACAAUAUGGACAUGUGCCAUCUUAUGAACAUGGGGUAAUAAUACUAAGCUACUGGUUGUGUUAUAUUGGUUGGUGCAUCUUAUGAACCUAUGGUGUAAUGAUACUGUUGGGCCUAACUUAUUGAAAUCCUGGAGAAUUAUAUUAUUAUUAUCAUCAUUA